UUAAGCGACUAAGCGUACACGGUGGAUGCCCUGGCAGUCAGAGGCGAUGAAGGACGUGCUAAUCUGCGAUAAGCGUCGGUGAGGUGAUAUGAACCGUUAUAACCGGCGAUUUCCGAAUGGGGAAACCCAGUGUGUUUCGACACACUAUCAUUAACUGAAUCCAUAGGUUAAUGAGGCGAACCGGGGGAACUGAAACAUCUAAGUACCCCGAGGAAAAGAAAUCAACCGAGAUUCCCCCAGUAGCGGCGAGCGAACGGGGAGGAGCCCAGAGCCUGAAUCAGUGUGUGUGUUAGUGGAAGCGUCUGGAAAGGCGCGCGAUACAGGGUGACAGCCCCGUACACAAAAAUGCACAUAUUGUGAGCUCGAUGAGUAGGGCGGGACACGUGGUAUCCUGUCUGAAUAUGGGGGGACCAUCCUCCAAGGCUAAAUACUCCUGACUGACCGAUAGUGAACCAGUACCGUGAGGGAAAGGCGAAAAGAACCCCGGCGAGGGGAGUGAAAAAGAACCUGAAACCGUGUACGUACAAGCAGUGGGAGCCUCUUAAUGGGGUGACUGCGUACCUUUUGUAUAAUGGGUCAGCGACUUAUAUUCUGUAGCAAGGUUAACCGAAUAGGGGAGCCGAAGGGAAACCGAGUCUUAACUGGGCGUUAAGUUGCAGGGUAUAGACCCGAAACCCGGUGAUCUAGCCAUGGGCAGGUUGAAGGUUGGGUAACACUAACUGGAGGACCGAACCGACUAAUGUUGAAAAAUUAGCGGAUGACUUGUGGCUGGGGGUGAAAGGCCAAUCAAACCGGGAGAUAGCUGGUUCUCCCCGAAAGCUAUUUAGGUAGCGCCUCGUGAAUUCAUCUCCGGGGGUAGAGCACUGUUUCGGCAAGGGGGUCAUCCCGACUUACCAACCCGAUGCAAACUGCGAAUACCGGAGAAUGUUAUCACGGGAGACACACGGCGGGUGCUAACGUCCGUCGUGAAGAGGGAAACAACCCAGACCGCCAGCUAAGGUCCCAAAGUCAUGGUUAAGUGGGAAACGAUGUGGGAAGGCCCAGACAGCCAGGAUGUUGGCUUAGAAGCAGCCAUCAUUUAAAGAAAGCGUAAUAGCUCACUGGUCGAGUCGGCCUGCGCGGAAGAUGUAACGGGGCUAAACCAUGCACCGAAGCUGCGGCAGCGACGCUUAUGCGUUGUUGGGUAGGGGAGCGUUCUGUAAGCCUGUGAAGGUGUGCUGUGAGGCAUGCUGGAGGUAUCAGAAGUGCGAAUGCUGACAUAAGUAACGAUAAAGCGGGUGAAAAGCCCGCUCGCCGGAAGACCAAGGGUUCCUGUCCAACGUUAAUCGGGGCAGGGUGAGUCGACCCCUAAGGCGAGGCCGAAAGGCGUAGUCGAUGGGAAACAGGUUAAUAUUCCUGUACUUGGUGUUACUGCGAAGGGGGGACGGAGAAGGCUAUGUUGGCCGGGCGACGGUUGUCCCGGUUUAAGCGUGUAGGCUGGUUUUCCAGGCAAAUCCGGAAAACCAAGGCUGAGGCGUGAUGACGAGGCACUACGGUGCUGAAGCGACAAAUGCCCUGCUUCCAGGAAAAGCCUCUAAGCAUCAGGUAACAUCAAAUCGUACCCCAAACCGACACAGGUGGUCAGGUAGAGAAUACCAAGGCGCUUGAGAGAACUCGGGUGAAGGAACUAGGCAAAAUGGUGCCGUAACUUCGGGAGAAGGCACGCUGAUAUGUAGGUGAAGCGACUUGCUCGUGGAGCUGAAAUCAGUCGAAGAUACCAGCUGGCUGCAACUGUUUAUUAAAAACACAGCACUGUGCAAACACGAAAGUGGACGUAUACGGUGUGACGCCUGCCCGGUGCCGGAAGGUUAAUUGAUGGGGUUAGCGGUAACGCGAAGCUCUUGAUCGAAGCCCCGGUAAACGGCGGCCGUAACUAUAACGGUCCUAAGGUAGCGAAAUUCCUUGUCGGGUAAGUUCCGACCUGCACGAAUGGCGUAAUGAUGGCCAGGCUGUCUCCACCCGAGACUCAGUGAAAUUGAACUCGCUGUGAAGAUGCAGUGUACCCGCGGCAAGACGGAAAGACCCCGUGAACCUUUACUAUAGCUUGACACUGAACAUUGAGCCUUGAUGUGUAGGAUAGGUGGGAGGCUUUGAAGUGUGGACGCCAGUCUGCAUGGAGCCGACCUUGAAAUACCACCCUUUAAUGUUUGAUGUUCUAACGUGGGCCCCUAAUCGGGGUUGCGGACAGUGUCUGGUGGGUAGUUUGACUGGGGCGGUCUCCUCCUAAAGAGUAACGGAGGAGCACGAAGGUUGGCUAAUCCUGGUCGGACAUCAGGAGGUUAGUGCAAUGGCAUAAGCCAGCUUGACUGCGAGCGUGACGGCGCGAGCAGGUGCGAAAGCAGGUCAUAGUGAUCCGGUGGUUCUGAAUGGAAGGGCCAUCGCUCAACGGAUAAAAGGUACUCCGGGGAUAACAGGCUGAUACCGCCCAAGAGUUCAUAUCGACGGCGGUGUUUGGCACCUCGAUGUCGGCUCAUCACAUCCUGGGGCUGAAGUAGGUCCCAAGGGUAUGGCUGUUCGCCAUUUAAAGUGGUACGCGAGCUGGGUUUAGAACGUCGUGAGACAGUUCGGUCCCUAUCUGCCGUGGGCGCUGGAGAACUGAGGGGGGCUGCUCCUAGUACGAGAGGACCGGAGUGGACGCAUCACUGGUGUUCGGGUUGUCAUGCCAAUGGCACUGCCCGGUAGCUAAAUGCGGAAGAGAUAAGUGCUGAAAGCAUCUAAGCACGAAACUUGCCCCGAGAUGAGUUCUCCCUGAGACUUAGAGUCUCCUGAAGGAACGUUGAAGACGACGACGUUGAUAGGCCGGGUGUGUAAGCGCAGCGAUGCGUUGAGCUAACCGGUACUAAUGAACCGUGAGGCUUAACCUU
Molecule: ribosomal RNA, 2903 nt
Filed under: Escherichia coli UMEA 3053-1
Lineage: Bacteria; Pseudomonadati; Pseudomonadota; Gammaproteobacteria; Enterobacterales; Enterobacteriaceae
Also listed under: 1 other name
Description: bacterial LSU rRNA
Rfam family: Bacterial large subunit ribosomal RNA
Source: RNAcentral